Molecule: long non-coding RNA, 285 nt
Organism: Homo sapiens (human)
Lineage: Eukaryota; Metazoa; Chordata; Mammalia; Primates; Hominidae
Source: Ensembl
CUUUGGGAGGCUGAGGCAGGAUCACCUGAGGCCUGAAGAUGGACCUGGGAGAGCACGACCUCGCCACAACAUCACCAUCCUGAUCAGAGGCGAGAGGGGACAAGGUCAUAGGUGUGGAGAUUUUCAGGUUUUGGGGAAAGCGAUUCUGAGAACUCUGAAGGCUAUUUCCACGGAAAUGAGAAGAAAAAUAUUUUCCAAGGACCAAGUACCCACCGGCCACCGUGGGAAAUGUUUUCACGGCCGCUACACUGAAGUUUCACUGCCACCUAGGGAAGUUGCUAUCAC